ACUAGAUGUGGCUGUACCUUGGGUUAGGGGAUGCUACUCCUGGUAUGAAACUCCGCACAGGAGCCUCAUUGGUGCCUAAGGAACAUCUCGUUGGACAUUAUCAUGGGAGAUCACAGGACUGCUGAUAGUUCAAACUAGAGAUGAAGAUGUGGAAAGCAAGAUUCAAGCCAAACAAGAUAAAAACAGAACAGACAGAAAUAAAAGACUGCUGCCUCCAGGAACAGUGUUUAUUUCACAAGCAGAAUAGAAUUUAGGGUUUCUUGGGAUGAGUGUGGUGGUUCUUGUAAGGAAAUGGUAACUUGAAUAGUCUUCCUAUAUUGGGGGGGGUCAUCCCCUUUGACUGAGUGUAAACUUCAGGAGAGACACACAUUGACCAGUGAGUAAGGAGAGUGACACAUAACUAGUCAGUCUGCUCAGCAGAAUCAGCCCUGCCAAUAAAUCCAGUGACAGAUGUUGCAGGGUAGAGCUUCUGACAUCUAUAAUUUAAGACUGCUUAAGUCCAGAGGUUGAAGGCUUCAACUAAGGUUAGGAAUGAGAAAUAGUAUUGCUUAGCAACCAUGCUAUUUUUGUCUAUUACAGAAAUUGUGACUGCUAUGGUAGAAAGCUCAGUUAAGGUAGUUCGGGUAGGUAAACUAUCAAGUCCACCCUCUUCAAUCCCAGCCCCCUUUCCAUGCACAAUGUGUUCUAAGGAGAUGCUUCUUGGUAGCCUUAGAGACAGGCUCUUGAUGGGAAAGAUUAAAAAGUCACCUUUAUUUUGGCUGUAGGGGAGCCACAGAUACAAAGCAUAAAGAGAAUUGGAAGUUUUCCUAGUUGGGUUUAAUUGUUAAGUUGACACAGCCUGGACUCGUGUGGGAAGAAAGUCUUGAUUAAAGAACUGCUUGAAUCAAACUGGUUUGUGGGCAUGUUUGUGGGGGACUGUCUUGAUUAUUAACUGGUGAAGGAGGGACCAGCCUACAGUGGGAGGCACUAUCCUUAGACAAGUGAUCUUAGAUUAUAUAGAGGCUUGAUGAGCACUGACCAGACAGUGAGCCAGCAAGUCAUUCUCUUUGUGGUUCUUGCCUCCAGUUCAGGUACUCGCCUUGAUUCCCUGCCCUGAACAGUCUCUGUGAUGAAUUGUGAUGUGAAAGUGUAAGCCAAGAAAACCCUUUCUUUCCCAAGUUGUUUUUGAUCAGAACAUUUUAUUACAGCAAUGAAGAAAAAAAAAAAAAAAAAGCCAAAACAGAAGUGGUUUGCCAAAGGAUUUGAAACUCUAAUCACUUAAGUCUAUCAAGAAUUUUUUUCAGAACUAGAAGAGUUCAAACAAUUUCCAUCUUAAUACAGGAGAGUCACCAACUUCAGCUGAAACCCUUCCAGGAGAUGCAUGCAUAUCACCUUUUGCAGGGCGACUUCUACUGGUAAACAACCUUCAUCCUCUUGUGUUGAGGUAUUUUCCCCCAAGCCUACUACUAUUACCCUGCUAAAGGAACAUAUGCUAUACCCACAGGUCAGUGCAACACUCAACUGUCACCAGGGAAGCUUCUUCCUACAGGAGAUAGGAAUUAACACCAGGGCAACAUGCAGAGUGAGACUCUGGAGACUCAGUUCUGCACGGGACGUCCUGAUCAAAACCCUCAGCUCAUGGCUCAGGGAUCUCUACAGAGGAGGGAGCAGGAAGAGGUCUGUAGCUUUAGCCUAUCAAGGGAUUUACCAUCUUCAGUCUGUGGUCUAACGCAAUGGCUGUCACUCAGGAAAUUGGGUGAACGAACACUGGCUGACAAAAUUAACUGACAGAACGGGCAAC
Molecule: long non-coding RNA, 1780 nt
Organism: Rattus rattus (black rat)
Lineage: Eukaryota; Metazoa; Chordata; Mammalia; Rodentia; Muridae
Exons: 3
Source: RefSeq, a predicted model, not a curated record